This 277-nucleotide ribosomal RNA is filed under the name uncultured eukaryote. RNAcentral's name for it is "partial 18S ribosomal RNA". It matches the Rfam family "Eukaryotic small subunit ribosomal RNA", at positions 21 to 295 of the family's 1831-position model. The record is from RNAcentral.
UAGUCAUAUGCUUGUCUCAAAGAUUAAGCCAUGCAUGUCUAAGUAUAAACAACUUUAUACUGUGAAACUGCGAACGGCUCAUUACAUCAGCAAUAAUUUAUUUGAUGGUUCCUUACUACAUGGAUAACUGUAGUAAUUCUAGAGCUAAUACAUGCGCAAAGUCCCGACUCUCGCGGGGAGGGAUGUAUUUAUUAGAUAAAAAACCAAUGGGCUUCGGUCCUUUUGUGUUGAAUCAUAGUAACUUAUCGGACGGCAUAGCUUUACGCUGGCCGCAGAU